CCUACGGGAGGCAGCAGUGAGGAAUAUUGGUCAAUGGGCGCGAGCCUGAACCAGCCAAGUCGCGUGAGGGAUGACGGCCCUAUGGGUUGUAAACCUCUUUUGUCGGGGAGUAAAGUGCCGCACGUGUGCGGUUUUGUGUGUACCCUGUGAAUAAGCAUCGGCUAACUCCGUGCCAGCAGCCGCGGUAAUACGGAGGAUCCGAGCGUUAUCCGGAUUUAUUGGGUUUAAGGGGUGCGUAGGCGGACGCUUAAGUCAGCGGUAAAGUUGCGGGGCUCAACCUAGUCGAGCCGUUGAAACUGGGGGCCUGGAGUGUGAGAGAGGUAAGCGGAAUGAGAGGUGUAGCGGUAAAAUGCAUAGAUAUCACGCAGAACACCAGUGGCGAAGGCAGCGUGCCGGGGCGAAACUGACACUGAGGCACGAAGGCGUGGGUAUCGAACAGGAUUAGAUACCCCAGUAGUC
Molecule: ribosomal RNA, 459 nt
Filed under: uncultured bacterium
Lineage: Bacteria
Description: partial 16S ribosomal RNA
Rfam family: Bacterial small subunit ribosomal RNA
Source: RNAcentral